This is a ribosomal RNA of Mustela putorius furo (domestic ferret), 107 nucleotides long. The record is from Ensembl. Lineage: Eukaryota; Metazoa; Chordata; Mammalia; Carnivora; Mustelidae.
GUCUACGGCCAUACCACCCUGAACGCGCCCGAUCUCGUCUGAUCUCGGAAGCUAAGCAGGGUCGGGCCUGGUUAGUACUUGGAUGGGAGAGAUCUGGGAGGGAGACG